UCCCCCUGGCAAUGAGUAAAGAGACAUCUUGUUAGUGGUGUUCUUAUAUCAGUCAGGGGCAGAGCAGAUGCCAGUCCUUUGUUUAUCCUAACGAUGUCUGGCUUGGUGGCCAACGAUGUCUUGUGCCUAGAACUCAUAA
This is a small nucleolar RNA of Arvicanthis niloticus (Nile rat), 139 nucleotides long. RefSeq annotates it as small nucleolar RNA SNORA48. The record is from RefSeq and is a predicted model, not a curated record. NCBI's taxonomy places the organism in Eukaryota, Metazoa, Chordata, Mammalia, Rodentia, Muridae.